AUUGAACGCUGGCGGCAUGCCUUACACAUGCAAGUCGAACGGUAACAGGUCUUCGGAUGCUGACGAGUGGCGAACGGGUGAGUAAUACAUCGGAACGUGCCCGAUCGUGGGGGAUAACGAGGCGAAAGCUUUGCUAAUACCGCAUACGAUCUACGGACGAAAGCGGGGGAUCUUCGGACCUCGCGCGGGCGGAGCGGCCGAUGGCGGAUUAGGUAGUUGGUGGGAUAAAAGCUUACCAAGCCGACGAUCUGUAGCUGGUCUGAGAGGAUGAUCAGCCACACUGGGACUGAGACACGGCCCAGACUCCUACGGGAGGCAGCAGUGGGGAAUGUUGGACAAUGGGCGAAAGCCUGAUCCAGCCAUGCCGCGUGCAGGAUGAAGGCCUUCGGGUUGUAAACUGCUUUUGUACGGAACGAAAAGCCUCUUUCUAAUAAAGAGGGGUCAUGACGGUACCGUAAGAAUAAGCACCGGCUAACUACGUG
RNAcentral lists this ribosomal RNA (482 nucleotides) under uncultured bacterium. Its description in RNAcentral is "partial 16S ribosomal RNA". It matches the Rfam family "Bacterial small subunit ribosomal RNA", at positions 30 to 507 of the family's 1533-position model. The record is from RNAcentral.